This 354-nucleotide ribosomal RNA is filed under the name Octinodes sp. MFW-1997. RNAcentral's name for it is "eukaryotic LSU rRNA". It matches the Rfam family "Eukaryotic large subunit ribosomal RNA", at positions 665 to 964 of the family's 3401-position model. Lineage: Eukaryota; Metazoa; Arthropoda; Insecta; Coleoptera; Elateridae. The record is from RNAcentral.
GACCCGUCUUGAACCAAGGAGUCUAGCAUGUACGCGAGUCAUUGGGUGCGAUUGUCUAAACCCAAAGGCGAAAUGAAAGUGAAAGCGCGCCUCGCGCGGGCUUAGGGAGGAUGGGCGAAGCGAUUCGUUCGUGUGUAGCCCCGCACUCCCGGGGCGUCUCGUUCUCAUUGCGAGAAGAGGCGCACCUAGAGCGUACACGCUGGGACCCGAAAGAUGGUGAACUAUGCCUGGUCAGGACGAAGUCAGGGGCAACCCUGAUGGAGGUCCGUAGCGAUUCUGACGUGCAAAUCGAUCGUCGGAACUGGGUAUAGGGGCGAAAGACUAAUCGACCAUCUAGUAGCUGGUUCCUUCCGA